This 71-nucleotide transfer RNA is filed under the name Dipodomys ordii (Ord's kangaroo rat). It matches the Rfam family "tRNA". From Rfam's summary of the family: Transfer RNA (tRNA) molecules are approximately 80 nucleotides in length. Their secondary structure includes four short double-helical elements and three loops (D, anti-codon, and T loops). Further hydrogen bonds mediate the characteristic L-shaped molecular structure. tRNAs have two regions of fundamental functional importance: the anti-codon, which is responsible for specific mRNA codon recognition, and the 3' end, to which the tRNAs corresponding amino acid is attached (by aminoacyl-tRNA synthetases). tRNAs cope with the degeneracy of the genetic code in two manners: having more than one tRNA (with a specific anti-codon) for a particular amino acid; and 'wobble' base-pairing, i.e. permitting non-standard base-pairing at the 3rd anti-codon position. Lineage: Eukaryota; Metazoa; Chordata; Mammalia; Rodentia; Heteromyidae. The record is from Rfam by way of RNAcentral.
AGGGAUGUAGCUCAAUGGUAGAGUACUCGCUUAGCAUGUGAAAGGUCUGGGUUUGAACCCCAGCACUGCAA